GUUUCUUGGGGAUGUCGAGAUGUGUUCCUGUUCCACGGAAAAUAUUGUCGUCGUUUUUUUUUAUAGUGAUUGACAACAAAUCCGGAAGAGAGAUAAGCCGCUUCGGAGAAAUAUCAGAGUCAUGAAUAUCGAAGAGUGUUCAAACAACCGACGAUAUGUCAACUUUCUUGAACGAAACACUCGCACCGACUCGACCAUGAACAUUCAAUACAGUAUUCUGGACUGAUCGAACAGGUAAGAAGAAAUUUAAACGUCCCACAUGACACGUUAACUCUCUUCGUCGAAACACUCGCACCAGCUCGACCUUGAACAUUCAAUACAGUACGGUAUUCUGGACCGAUCGAACAAUUCUUGUCGCCAGGUAACAAGAAACUUAAUAUAGAUUUUCAAAUUCAAAACUUGCUCGUGUCAUUUUUUUUUCUUUUCUAUAUUUUUUCUAUAAUUUGUAUUAGCUUUAAUCUCAAGAUAGAUUUAUAAUUCCAUCUUAUUUUUAUUGGAAUCCUUCGGACCCAAUGUUUGAUCAUACUCGCACCGGUUCGAUUCUAAACAUUACAAAAACAAUAAAGUAUUUUGGAUUGAUCGAGCAGUUCUUCUCGCCAGGUAA
Long non-coding RNA from Frieseomelitta varia, 604 nucleotides. RefSeq lists it as uncharacterized. The record is from RefSeq and is a predicted model, not a curated record. The transcript has 2 exons. NCBI's taxonomy places the organism in Eukaryota, Metazoa, Arthropoda, Insecta, Hymenoptera, Apidae.